UGGGCGCGCGCUGAGAGCGCGUUCGAAGCGAGUGUCCGCGCGGCGGCGCCGGAGACCGGGGCGGGAAUCGGUGGCGGCGCGGACCGGAGCUGCAGACUAUUACUGUGAUUGCCUCAUCUUUGACAAGCUAUGCAUAGUCAACUUUAAAGAACCCAUCCCCAUGGCAGCCACAGACCAGUUGCAUAAAAGGCUCCUGUAGAGAACAAUACCCCCAUUCUAAGAUUCUUAUUCAAGGCAGAUGUACAAAUAAUGCUGUUACAUUAGAAGAUGGAUUUUAUCUUUGGAGCAGCAUUGACCUUAACCCUGAUCAGCACAUCAUGGAACAAUCCAUUAAUGGUGAAUAGUUCAACGACAAAGACAUUACAAGUUUUCAAACUCUGGAAGAUAUCGACAUGGCCUGUCAACAUAAUCAAAGAACAAUCUCCUUAUCCCAGGAACCAAUUUGGUGAAUCUUUGUUGUACUCCCUCUAACAAAAGUAGAUCUUUCCUUGGAUAGGGAGAUCAUACCUCCACAAAAUAGUCCAAGAGCUGCCUCAUCGAAGUCCUAUAGAAUUGAAGUAAUAUGUCUUCACUCUUGUUCUCAA
Pristis pectinata (smalltooth sawfish) is the source of this 584-nucleotide long non-coding RNA. RefSeq lists it as uncharacterized. The record is from RefSeq and is a predicted model, not a curated record. The transcript is spliced from 5 exons. NCBI's taxonomy places the organism in Eukaryota, Metazoa, Chordata, Chondrichthyes, Rhinopristiformes, Pristidae.